Molecule: ribosomal RNA, 339 nt
Filed under: Triticum aestivum (bread wheat)
Lineage: Eukaryota; Viridiplantae; Streptophyta; Magnoliopsida; Poales; Poaceae
Description: partial small subunit ribosomal RNA
Source: RNAcentral
AUGAACCCGAUGUCGGCCCCUGGCCCCGAUGGCUUGCCGGUUCGCUUUUUCUAGGCCUUCUGGCCGAUGGUCAAGGAUAUCAUCCUCGAUUUGUUUAGCGAGUUCUCUAGGGGUACCCUAGACAUGUCCCGACUUAACUACGGGAUUAUCUCCUUGAUUCCCAAGGUACGGGGAGCGGCGGACAUUAGAAAAUUCCGUCCCAUCAUAGUCCUCAAUGUGAUAUUUCGGAUCCUCGCUAAAGGGUACGCCACUAGGGCGGCCCUUAUUGCUCCCCGGAUUCAUCACCCGAACCAGUCGGCCUUCACAAAAGGGAGAUAUAUCUUAGAUGGGAUCCUUGCC